AUGAACGCUGGCGGCUUGCCUCAUACAUGCAAGUCGAGCGAACAGACGAGGAGCUUGCUCCUCUGACGUUAGCGGCGGACGGGUGAGUAACACGUGGAUAACCUACCUAUAAGACUGGGAUAACUUCGGGAAACCGGAGCUAAUACCGGAUAAUAUAUUGAACCGCAUGGUUCAAUAGUGAAAGACGGUUUUGCUGUCACUUAUAGAUGGAUCCGCGCCGCAUUAGCUAGUUGGUAAGGUAACGGCUUACCAAGGCGACGAUGCGUAGCCGACCUGAGAGGGUGAUCGGCCACACUGGAACUGAGACACGGUCCAGACUCCUACGGGAGGCAGCAGUAGGGAAUCUUCCGCAAUGGGCGAAAGCCUGACGGAGCAACGCCGCGUGAGUGAUGAAGGUCUUCGGAUCGUAAAACUCUGUUAUUAGGGAAGAACAAAUGUGUAAGUAACUAUGCACGUCUUGACGGUACCUAAUCAGAAAGCCACGGCUAACUACGUG
This 496-nucleotide ribosomal RNA is filed under the name uncultured bacterium. Its description in RNAcentral is "partial 16S ribosomal RNA". It matches the Rfam family "Bacterial small subunit ribosomal RNA", at positions 29 to 507 of the family's 1533-position model. The record is from RNAcentral.